RNAcentral lists this ribosomal RNA (786 nucleotides) under Triticum aestivum (bread wheat). Its description in RNAcentral is "partial small subunit ribosomal RNA". The record is from RNAcentral. Lineage: Eukaryota; Viridiplantae; Streptophyta; Magnoliopsida; Poales; Poaceae.
AUGGACGAGGUCACAAGGAGUAUACAAGGAGAUAUCCCAUGGUGUAUGCUCUUUGCGGAUGAUGUGGUGCUAGUUGACGAUAGUCGGACGGGGGUAAAUAGGAAGUUAGAGUUAUGGAGACAAACCUUGGAAUCGAAAGGGUUUAGGCUUAGUAGAACUAAAACCGAGUACAUGAUGUCCGGUUUCAGUACUACUAGGUGUGAGGAGGUUAGCGUUGAUGGCCAGGUGGUACCUCGAAAGGACACCUUUCGGUAUUUGGGGUCAAUGUUGCAGGAGGAUGGGGGUAUUGAUGAAGAUGUGAACCAUCAAAUCAAAGCCGUAUGGAUGAAGUGGCGCCAAGCUUCUGGCAUUCUCUCUGACAAGAGAGUGCCACAAAAGCUAAAAGGCAAGUUCUACAGGACGACGGUUCGACCCACAAUGUUGUAUGGCGCGGAGUGUUGGCCGACUAAAAGGCGACAUGUUCAACAGUUAGGUGUGGAGGAGAUGCGUAUGUUGAGAUGGAUGUGUGGCCACACGAGGAAGGAUCGAGUACGGAAUGAUGAUAUACGAGAUAGAGUUGGGGUAGCACCAAUUGAGGAGAAGCUUGUCCAACAUCGUUUGAGAUGGUUUGAGCAUAUUCAGCGCAGGCCUCCAGAAGCUCCAGUGCAUAGCGGACGGCUAAAGCGUGCGGAGAAUGUCAAGAGAGGGCGGGGUCGACCGAAUUUGACAUGGGAGGAGUCCGUUAAGAGAGACCUGAAGGAUUGGAGUAUCGACAAAGAGCUAGCUAUGGACAGGGGUGCGUGGAAG